UCAACAUAAGCCGCCCACACAUUCUCAGAUCCAUCUCUCUCAUUUCAAAAGUAACUAAUAAAAAAAGAGAGAGAAAGUGGUAGCAAGGAAAGAACGCACCAUCAUGAAAAUGUUCUUCUGCGUUUCCAGCAUGUAAAUCCCUUCCCACCUCUCAUCAUUUUUCUAGCACACACUUUCCUACUAACACCAUCCCUCUCAAUCUCUUAUUCACCUUCAUCCUCCCUCACAGUCGCAGUAUCAUACUACUACAACAAACCACCACUUCCAUUCAUUUUUCAACACUAUACUCCCUGCAUCAACGUAACAACCAUUAACCUCUCAUUUUCACUUUUUCAUCCACCAAAACAACGACCGUCUUCUCCUUUCUUUUCAUGCACAUCUUUCACAAACCGUGAUCCUCUUUUUCCAAAGCAUCACACAACACACUCCAUAUCUCCACCUCCCUUCAACACCACCAUGGAUCCACCCUUCUUACAACCUUGUCCUCCACCGAUCAACCUCCAACCACCAUACUGCAACCACAAUAAACUUAUCGACCACCUCCAUUCCCUUACACGUGAAACCGAAAUAGCCACCACCUCCAACAAACUUCCGACUGGCCAAACCUCACCUCUAUUAUUGCACCAAACCCAAACUACUUCGAUUGCUUGUACUUUGAAUUUCACUUUCUAUCUGUGUAUUUGGUUUUGUAAGUUGUUUAUUCUGUUUACAGGUGUGAUACGAUGCCGAGUUCGGUUUUGUGAGUUUAGCAAGCUGAGUGGUCGGGUUCAUCUUUAAUGUUGCGUACGGGAUUAUGACUCAAUGAAUACGCCGGUCCGCUAAAUGUUAAGACACUAUGUUGUUGUGAUUAAUUUGUGUCAUCAGUUCCGUUACGGUAACACUUUACUUCAUUUUCGGCUUUCAAAUUUGUAAUCACUGUAUCUUCGUUCUAUUUGUGGUGGAUUUUGGUUUUAAUGUUGUAAGUGUAUUUGCAUAAAUGUUAAUCGGUUGCUUUUUCAUUGCGUUACGAUGUCGGGAGUUCGAUCUCGGUUUCACUCUUGAAUUCAUAUUGAACACACAUAUUAUAUUGGUUGCGUGGGAGUGUUUUUAUUCUGUAUUGACGAUGGAAUGUUGUAAAUAGUUUUUGUAAGGAUCAAUAAGACUCUCAUAGGUCAUGAUCGGACUAUAAGGUCAAUCAACGCAAGGAUAGAGGAGACUCUAACAUGUCACUCUCAAACUCAGAGAGUUAUUUAUCUUUUUCUGAUCAUCACGUGAAGAUUUAAGCAAAAAUUAUUCAUAGACAUUUGGAAUGCAAUGAAUAAUUCAUCUUUAAGCAAAGAGAUUUCAAAUGUCUUUUCAAAGGGAUUAACAUAUCAAGUAACAUUGCAACGUCUCUGAUCAAACUUCUCCAAGACUCACUUGUACUCUUAAGAGACUCUUUUAUAUUUCUCUAUAUAAGGAGCUGAAGACUUGAAGAAAUAAAAAUGAACUAUUGACAAUAAAAGAGUUGUUACUCUGUCAAACAAAAAACAAAAGUUUAAUUUAAAAUUUCUUAACAGUUGUAUAUUUUAGAAAUUCUUAAGUCUUAAAAU
This 1571-nucleotide long non-coding RNA is filed under the name Lathyrus oleraceus (garden pea). Its description in RNAcentral is "Pisum sativum (pea) long non-coding RNA (PSAT_LNC030044)". Lineage: Eukaryota; Viridiplantae; Streptophyta; Magnoliopsida; Fabales; Fabaceae. The record is from RNAcentral.